CGGAAUUGACUGACUAUGAUGACGCUAGCGGGAGGCCUAACACAUGCAAGCCGAGCGGUAGAGUAUCUUCGGAUACUUGAGAGCGGCGUACGGGUGCGGAACACGUGUGCAACCUGCCUUUAUCUGAGGGAUAGCCUUUCGAAAGGGAGAUUAAUACCUCAUAAUAUACUGAUUGGCAUCAAUUGGUAUUGAAAGCUCCGGCGGAUAGAGAUGGGCACGCGCAAGAUUAGAUAGUUGGUGAGGUAACGGCUCACCAAGUCAAUGAUCUUUAGGGGGCCUGAGAGGGUGAUCCCCCACACUGGUACUGAGACACGGACCAGACUCCUACGGGAGGCAGCAGUGAGGAAUAUUGGACAAUGGGUGCAAGCCUGAUCCAGCCAUCCCGCGUGAAGGACGACGGCCCUAUGGGUUGUAAACUUCUUUUGUACAGGGAUAAACCUACCCUCGUGAGGGUAGCUGAAGGUACUGUACGAAUAAGCACCGGCUAACUCCGUGCCAGCCGCCGCGGUAAUUUGGCG
RNAcentral lists this ribosomal RNA (518 nucleotides) under Riemerella anatipestifer. RNAcentral's name for it is "bacterial SSU rRNA". It matches the Rfam family "Bacterial small subunit ribosomal RNA", at positions 1 to 530 of the family's 1533-position model. Lineage: Bacteria; Pseudomonadati; Bacteroidota; Flavobacteriia; Flavobacteriales; Weeksellaceae. The record is from RNAcentral.